GCAUAUCUGGUUGAUUACGAUUCUCAAAUAUAUUUUAUGCUUUUAAAAAAAACUGACACACAUCACCAUUGAAUAGUUUGUGACACUCUGAGCGGGCUUUAUCCUCAAAUCAAAAGUUUUUAUUUUAUUUUUUAAAUAAGUCGUAGCCAAUCAGACGUCUAUAACAAUUUCGGCCAAUCACAAUUGGGCCACAGUCUGUUACACUGGCGCGAAAUGUAUGAGAAGAUGGCGAACGUCAAGGCAGCAGGAGCUAACGUUAGCGCUCCACCAAGAAAAAAAAAACACUUUAGAAAGUUCUGAUGACGAAACAGACAUUGAGAUGAAGCGACAAUAUGAAAAAGCAAAAAGACAAAAAAAAGUUGCAAAAGAGAGGAUCCUCACUCAGUUGAAGGAUACACUGAGGAAACCACUCCACUCCACUCCAUGCAGAACCAAUCCAUUACAUAGUGAGGAGGAAGUUGAAUCCGAAAUGGUGGACACAAAUGUGGAUUUGUUCAAUUACCCAGGGAAUUCUCAAUCAACCAGACAAAAAAAGGUUGGAAAGGAGAGGGUCCUCACUCAGCUGAAGGAUACACUGAGAAAACCACUCCACUCUGAUCCACGCAGAACCAACCCGUUACAUAGUGAGGAGGAAGUUCAAGCCGAAACCGUGGACACAAAUGUGGAUUUGUUCGAUUACCCAGAGAAUUUUCAACCAACCGAUACCUUAGAUGCUGCUGAGGCAAGUGGAGAGAGCGUGGAACAGCCAUUAUUUGUCAGUGGUGAAGUGUUGAAAGCUUUGAAAGAAAUUCCCACCUUAGUGCAGUGUGUCAAGGAACUAAUAUCCUCAAUGAACAGAGGGAUCGAUACAGCAAGCACAAGCUCAGGGUCCUCCAGCUCAGCCCAAGAGAUGACACUGUCAUAUCUGAGUUUCCGGGCACGUCACAGUCCGAGGUUAGAGCCGUAAUACGGCGAAAGUGCAAUAACGAAAGUUUUGUUUCAAAAAAAAAAAAAACACUGUAAAGGUAAUUUUUUGUUGUUGUUGGGAAAGGAAUGUGAAAGUAAAGAAGAAAUUUGUGUUUUGUUCAUAUAAGAUACGUACAGUAAUCUGUAGUUUAAUCAUUUUAUUAAAGGGUUAGUUCACCCAAAAAUCGAAAAGUUCUUUGUAUUUAGUCACCCAGCGUGUUGUUCUAAACCCUUAAGACUUCCAUUAACCAUCGCAUCACAAAAUAUUAUAUUUAUGAUGUAAUCUGAGCGCUGGAUAAGUCUUCCAUUGACUUCCAAGGGGCUUAAACUUGCUCGAUCAGAAAUCGUAUUAAGACAUUGUUUGAAAUUGUCUAAGUGACUCCAGUGGCUCAACCAUCCAUUUAUCAAGCGAC
Cyprinus carpio carpio is the source of this 1358-nucleotide long non-coding RNA. The record is from Ensembl. NCBI's taxonomy places the organism in Eukaryota, Metazoa, Chordata, Actinopteri, Cypriniformes, Cyprinidae.